This is a long non-coding RNA of Ostrea edulis (European flat oyster), 3166 nucleotides long. RefSeq lists it as uncharacterized. The transcript has 2 exons. The record is from RefSeq and is a predicted model, not a curated record. NCBI's taxonomy places the organism in Eukaryota, Metazoa, Mollusca, Bivalvia, Ostreida, Ostreidae.
GUCUGUGCAGAUUCGUGUCCGGGCCAUAACUUCUUUGUUCUUUUACAUAGGCAUACCAUAUUUGGCACACAGGUGGAUCAACAUGAGAUGAUGUGUCGAGUAUCUUCAUGACCUUGACCUCAAGGUCAAAAUUAAAGGUUUUUUACAAUGGAUUCCUGUCCAGGCCAUAACUUCUUUGUUCUUUGACAUAGGCAUACCAUAUUUGACACAUGAGUGUAUCACCAUGAGACGAUGUGUCGGGUACCUUCAUGACCUCUAUAUGACCUUGAACUUUGACCUCAAGAUCAAAAUUGAUUAUAGGGUUUUGACAUAGUCAUACCAUAAGACAUGGGUGUAUCACUAUGAGACUAUGUGUCAUGUACAUUCAUGACCUCUUUAUGACCUUGACCUUUGAUCUCAAGGUCAAAAUUAUAGGUUUAUACCAUGGAUUUGUGUUCAGACUAUAUCUUCCAUUUUCUUCUACAAAGGCAUACCAUAGUUGUACAUUGGUGUGUUGCCAUGAGAAGAUUUGUUGUAUAUAUUCAUGACAUCUUUUAUGACCUUGACAUUAUCACCAUGAGACAAUCUGUCAAGUAAAAUGAUGACCUUUGUAUGACCUUGACCUUUGACCUCAAGCUCAAAAUUGCCUUCUAUUUUCACAUGGAUUUGUUUAGUUUUCUUCAUAACAAAUGUUUAUUCACAGGUCUUCUACCUUGCUGAUAUUUUUACACUCAGAAAAGAGAUAAUUUAUACCUUUGGGAGAUUGGGGUAAGCGGGGGAGGGGGGUAUUCUUAGUGAGCAUUGCUCACAGUACCUGUUGUUUUUGUGAUGUUUUACAUUUUCGGGAUCUUUGUACAAAAGGGAAUACUAGAGGUAUCAAAACUACACAAGGCAAACUUAUGGGGUAAAAAGCUGGUAGAAUUUUUUAAAAGAGUGUUAUCUUUAAGAUUAUACUAGUUGUUAUUUAAAAACACAAAAAAAUAGCACUUUUUAUAUCUUGAAUAAAAUUCGAAUUGGUUGCCAUGACAACAAAAAAUGUAUAUUGAGCAGAUUUACAAGGUCUACGUCAGAAUUUUUUUUACAUUAAACAUAAUAUUUGGACCUUAAAUAUUUAAGAAUUACUACCCACCGGGCUCUGUUUCCAUGGUAAAAAAUUAAAAAGAAUUAAUUUUAUUUAUGCGAUUUGUCACUUUGUUUUAUAAUUGUACAACUUUUGAAGAGUGCAUUGAGCAUUUUCAUGAAUAAGAUACAAUUCCAGCCCCAAAAUAAUAUUUACAUUUAUUAAAAAUUAAGAUUUUGAGUUUUUUCAAUACAAUAUUUUCAAUAUCCCGGUUUUCCAUGGUCCUGUUUCGUCAUAAAUUCCGUGUUACAUUAGCCCGAACCUGUCUUAUAUACUACAUCUUUGAAAUAAUUUCCCUCUCCUUGUCCCAAUUCUUGAUGUUUGUUUACACAGUUGAACAUGCAACUGUAACCUUCGUGACAAUAUAGAGCCUGGUCAGUGGUGGAUCUAGAGGUGCUUUAACAGGAAAUUAAAUCAUAGGAGAAAAUUUAUAUCUGGACUGGGAAUUGAACUUGUGGCCCAUACAUUACUAAUCAAGUUCUCCAACCAUUGAGCUAUUCAGGCCAAUAUCUAUGGACCAUAUAACCUAAACCACUAGUAUGUCUGCAUUGCUCCCUCCUUAAAUUGUCUUUGCCCUCAAAGACACAGGCCUCUGGCAGGACUUUCAUCUGCAAUACCAGGGGCGGUCAAUAGCACUAAAUAUUAAAGAAAAGGAGGAAAUUUACGGCAGGAUUGGGAAUCAAACCCGGCACUCCUGCAUUACUAGUCAGGUGCUCUAACCACUGAACUAUCCAGACCAAUAUGCAGUCCAUACAGCCCAAACCACUACACAAACAGUUCAGCUACAAGUUUGUUAAAUAUACUAAUAACCAUAAACACAGGGCUCUCAAAUUUAUAGAUACUUGUCGUUCAUCGGAUUGAAUAUUGAAAAGUGUUAGAACUCUAUCUUUAUGUUAUAUUUUUAGGCCACCAGAAUCUUCUUGAUAAUAACCCUUCUAUUUCUUUUCAAAUUCGAUAUGCAGCAUCUUUGGGAUAAGGGUGACAUAAAUUGUAAAUUUCAGCAUUCGUACACCCAUGGAGCUUAUAGGGGUCUGUUAUAAAUUGACCAACUUUUAAAAAUCUUUUCACAACUUCAAUUGUGCAAGGAAAACUCAUUACAUAGUCAUGUAGAACAGGGAGGCUUUGAUAAAAAAUGAAUGAUCCUAUAGGUAGAGGGUCUGACUGCAGGGCAGGACCAAACUUGUCAUAUAGUGUUAUUGUGUAAGACAUUUGAAUGAAUCUUCUUUAAUGCAUUGAAUUGAAACUAAAUGGAUAUUUAGAAGGAGCAUGGGGCCCUUUGCCAUACUUGUAAAUUCAUAAUCCUUGAGGUAGGGGUUUUGGUACAAGAGUGCAGAUGCCAAAAUGGUUAUAGUAAUUAAAUGCCUAUCAUUUGGAAGAAUCAUUCUUUAAUUUUGAUGAUAUAUAUAAAUGCAUAUUGAGGAAAAGCAGAGAGGAGUGUACUAAAAUCGUGAAUUUCUAGAGCUAUAGUCCUAAAUUGUUGUAUAGUAUUAAUGUAAUAUAUGUAAAGUCUUUCGUUAAUAUGGGCACUUCAGGGGCAUUUGUGUUUUAAGAAUACACCCUGUUUUAUACUGGUAAUGAAUAUCAGAAAUAUGUGCAGAACAGGGAAAUCAUUAUAGAUUUUCACAGUUCUUGGGCACAGGUGACCAAUGAGGCAUUUGAUCCUCUAAUUUGGUUUAAAAGGUUUUUGGCAUACAGUAUCAAAAAAAGUAAAGUCUGUGUAAUUAAAAUGAAGAAUUUUUGCAUUAAGUAUUGAGGAUUAGAUUUAAGGAGGUACGUACUCUACAUCGUCAAUGGCUGCAGACUUCCAUUUUAAAACGUGAGUGAAAAUCAAAAUAUCAGCCAUACAUGUAUUUGUCUAUUCCGUUUAAACUUAACUAUUUAGCUGAGAAGCUCAGUAGGUUAGCACAUUGUCUACUGAACUGUAGGUCAUGGGUUUGAUUCCAAUAGGGGCUUUAAUUUUAUUUCAGAUUGCUUUCUAAUAAAACUGCAUGUCAAAAAAGCAAUAUAGGCAAUUUUGUAUAAAAGAUAUGAUUUUCAAAUUAUUAUUUUAAUAAAUGAUGAACAAAA